Molecule: ribosomal RNA, 253 nt
Filed under: uncultured bacterium
Lineage: Bacteria
Description: partial 16S ribosomal RNA
Rfam family: Bacterial small subunit ribosomal RNA
Source: RNAcentral
UACGUAGGAUGCAAGCGUUGUCCGGAAUUAUUGGGCGUAAAGAGCGCGCAGGCGGUUUGCCAAGUCAGAUGUGAAAGAGGCCGGCUUAACCGGCAAGGGUCAUUUGAAACUGACAGAUUAGAGUGCAGCAGAGGAUAGCGGAAUUCCCGGUGUAGUGGUGAAAUGCGUAGAUAUCGGGAGGAACACCAGUGGCGAAGGCGGCUAUCUGGGCUGCAACUGACGCUGAGGCGCGAAGGCUAGGGUAGCAAACAGG